AUCCCGAGUUGUGAUAUGUGAAAAGGCUUAAGAGAAUUGAUUUGGCUACCUAUAUCACCAAAGUUGACUUACCUUUUCCGGAACACAUCCUGAAAGAACUCCAGAGUUAAGCGUGCUUGAGCUGGAGUAGUGGAAGGAUGGGUGACCUAUCGGGAAGUCAUUCGCGAUAGCGUGCGAGUGAGGCCAAAGCACGGGGAAAGGUCGGGUGGUGAUUGCAGGGUCAGUAGACGAUGAUUUCGAGCCUUUGGAAAAUUAACGACCGACCGUCGGAUGGGAUGGGGCCCACGGGCCGAGAGAGCGGACGUGGGUGGCCCAUUAGCCGUGGGCGGGUCGGGACGUUACAAGUGGUAUCAGAGCUGGUUAGCCGUCUCAGUUCUGACCUGAGAGGCGUCUUGAGACCUGUCGUGGAGCGCAACGAGGACGUUGCGUUCUUUGAGAGGGGUGAAUUGUAACAUCCCGAGUUGUGAUAUGUGAAAAGGCUUAAGAGAAUUGAUUUGGCUACCUAUAUCACCAAAGUUGACUUACCUUUUCCGGAACACAUCCUGAAAGAACUCCAGAGUUAAGCGUGCUUGAGCUGGAGUAGUGGAAGGAUGGGUGACCUAUCGGGAAGUCAUUCGCGAUAGCGUGCGAGUGAGGCCAAAGCACGGGGAAAGGUCGGGUGGUGAUUGCAGGGUCAGUAGACGAUGAUUUCGAGCCUUUGGAAAAUUAACGACCGACCGUCGGAUGGGAUGGGGCCCACGGGCCGAGAGAGCGGACGUGGGUGGCCCAUUAGCCGUGGGCGGGUCGGGGCGUUACAAAGGGUAUGUUUUACACCCUAAAAUUCAUCAGUUCAAUCUUCUCACUCAAAAGCUUUCCAGAAUACCAAGCGACCAAAAUGGCUAACUCUAUUGUUUUGCCUAAGCACAAACAUAUAAAGGUAUAGACUUUAUGUAGGUAAAGAGCCAUGUGGUAGAUGAGUGAAAACGAAGAAGACAAGGUCUCAUGGAAAAAGAGAUGAACACUCUCAAUGACUGGAAGAAGAAAAUAGAAGCAAAUAUCCCUUCGUCAGCCGCGUAAUGUCCUAAGUCAAUCAAAUCCUUACAAUCUCUGUAUGAUUCGUGCAUCAAGGACUGUGAUAAGGCAGUUGAAAGAGAUAGAAAGCUUAGGCCUGGAACGGAACAGCUCUGUCGAAUAUGGAACAGCUCUGCUACGGCGCCGCACACCCUCUCCUCUGAUGCGCAUGUGUUCUGUUCAGAGCUGCGACCAAAGCGCUGGAGAGCGAGGGUUGAGACUGAAACAGAGGGUUGGAUAGAUGGGAAGCCUGUUGAGGGAAACCUUGAAACAGAUCUCGAGCGCGACAAUGGAGAAGGUUGCACUAUUUGGCGACCAAGGGAAGUGAGAGGAUGAUAUUUGAGACAUGCCCUUCGAAAAAGAUUUGAUCUUGUGGAAGUUAAAAGCUUUGAAGCGACGUGAAGAGGAGUGACCUCCUUCUUGCUAAAGUUAGAGAUUGCUUUUAAACUAAACCCAUGUAUGCAUCACUCUAAACCGUAAAACUCCUCUCAAGAUUUAUCUAUGUACCCACAAACAAGAAAUGGUCGAGACUUUGAGUUUCUUUAAGCUUAAAGGAAGAAAUAGUAGUGGAAUUACGUGUUAUCAAUA
Raphanus sativus (radish) is the source of this 1638-nucleotide long non-coding RNA. RefSeq lists it as uncharacterized. NCBI's taxonomy places the organism in Eukaryota, Viridiplantae, Streptophyta, Magnoliopsida, Brassicales, Brassicaceae. The transcript is spliced from 2 exons. The record is from RefSeq and is a predicted model, not a curated record.